RNAcentral lists this ribosomal RNA (493 nucleotides) under Amiserica antennalis. RNAcentral's name for it is "partial 16S large subunit ribosomal RNA". It matches the Rfam family "Bacterial large subunit ribosomal RNA", at positions 1844 to 2600 of the family's 2925-position model. Lineage: Eukaryota; Metazoa; Arthropoda; Insecta; Coleoptera; Scarabaeidae. The record is from RNAcentral.
UUUAAGGUCUAAUCUGCCCUAUGAGGUAUUAAAUGGCCGCGGUAUUUUGACUGUGCAAAGGUAGCAUAAUAAUUAGUUUUUUAAUUGAAAGCUAGAAUGAAUGAUUGGACGAGAAAAUAACUGUCUCAAUUUAAUUUUAUUAGAAUUUUAUUUUUAAGUAAGAAAGCUUAAAUUUUGUUAAAAGACGAGAAGACCCUAUAGAGUUUUAUAAUUAGUUUAUUAUUAAUUUUUAAGAAUUAUUGUAUUAAAAUUAAAUUAGUUAUUUUAUUGGGGUGAUAAGAAAAUAUUAUAAACUUUUUUUUUACUAACAUUAAUUUAUGAUUUUAUGAUCCAUUAUUUAUGAUUAAAAGAUUAAGUUACCUUAGGGAUAACAGCGUAAUUUUUUUUUAGAGUUCUUAUCGAGAAAAAAGAUUGCGACCUCGAUGUUGGAUUAAAAUAAAUAUUAGGUGUAGAAGCUUAAUUAUUAGGUCUGUUCGACCUUUUAAAUUUUACA